AUUUUAUAUCUUUGUUCGUCGACAUUAUAGUCAUCAUUGCAGGCUAUUGCUGCAGAACAAAAUGCCGCAACCACCGCUGUGGUAAAUAUGUUCCAGCAGAGCUGCCCACCGCCGUCGGUGUAAUUAUUUCGAUAGCUGAACAAACGCCAUCUCCUGGGCAUUCCCACAGCUUGCCGACACUAGCUAUUAUAUCACGAGUGAAUGCAACUGCGGCUUAAUUUGGUUAUUAACAGUGCAAUAGUACCAUGUCAUUGGCAAAAACACUAAGGGCUGCUGGCAAAUAUAGAUGUUGGAGAAUCGCGGCAGCACAGCCGUAUACCUACUCUAUGCUCUUACGCGCAUAUGCUAAAUUUCUCGCACCUAGCUAAAGUGCUUGACAAAGCAAGAAGGCAUAUCUUCAACAUUAUAACUUAAAGUAAAAAAGUUUAAGGCAUGCAAUAAAAGAAUCAACCCAACCAACCUCAAUGUCCUCAAAACUAUUAAACAUAAAAAAUUGCACGAAUAAAAUUCAUAAUUUAAAAUAAAA
Long non-coding RNA from Rhagoletis pomonella (apple maggot), 526 nucleotides. RefSeq lists it as uncharacterized. NCBI's taxonomy places the organism in Eukaryota, Metazoa, Arthropoda, Insecta, Diptera, Tephritidae. The transcript is spliced from 2 exons. The record is from RefSeq and is a predicted model, not a curated record.